This is a long non-coding RNA of Artibeus jamaicensis (Jamaican fruit-eating bat), 428 nucleotides long. RefSeq lists it as uncharacterized. NCBI's taxonomy places the organism in Eukaryota, Metazoa, Chordata, Mammalia, Chiroptera, Phyllostomidae. The record is from RefSeq and is a predicted model, not a curated record. The transcript has 2 exons.
CUUCCGAGGCGGCGGCUUGGGCGCUACCCGCUGGGGCUCCGCUUCCCCGUGCGAGACCGCGCGUCCUUCCCAGCGAGGUCCCCGCGCGGCCGGGCCCAGUGCUUCUAAUACGAGGAAAAACAUGGAAUGACAAGUGUGGGAAAGAGCAAGCACUAAAUUACUGUCAGAAAAAUAAACGGAGUAGCACAGUGGUGCUCAGUGAUUUACGGGGGCAAUUAGCCACCACCCCACAGCGCUGCUGAGGACAGCAGGCCACAGAUGCAUCAGGCCCAAGAGGAAGAAGAGGCUUUGCUCUGCUCUCCAGACAACUUUUCAAACAACAAGAGAGAAUAUUUGAGUACAUUAGGUUCUGUGUCUUCAUUCUGGAAGCCCACCCUUCACAUUAUUCAAACAACCUAAUUAAUAAACAUAUUUUUGUGCAAAAUUGA